GAUGAACGCUGGCGGCGGGCCUAACACAUGCAAGUCGAACGCGCCCAGAAGGGAACUUGUUCCUUUCAACGCGAGUGGCGAACGGGUGAGUAACACGUGGGAAACCUACCCUUCAGGGGGGGAUAACCAUCGGAAACGUUGCCUAAAACCCCAAAGUUGUCCCAGUCGCAGAGCUGGAAUGUGGAAGACCUUUCCGGCUGUCACGGCACGAUGGUCCCGCGGAGCAUUAGCUAGACGGUGGGGUAACGGCCUACCGCGGCUUUGAUGCAUAGCCGGCCUGAGAGGGUGAUCGGCCACAUUGGGACUGAGACACGGCCCAAACUCCUACGGGAGGCAGCAGUAGGGAAUAUUCCGCAAUGGGCGCAAGUCUGACGCAGCAACGCCGCGUGUGGGAAGAAGGUCUUCGGAUCGUAAAGCACUGUUAGCAGGGAAGAAGAGCCUAUAGUGUAUACCUUAUAGGUUUGACGGUAACUGAAGAAAAAGCACCGGCUAACUCCGUG
Molecule: ribosomal RNA, 500 nt
Filed under: uncultured bacterium
Lineage: Bacteria
Description: partial 16S ribosomal RNA
Rfam family: Bacterial small subunit ribosomal RNA
Source: RNAcentral